Molecule: long non-coding RNA, 2347 nt
Organism: Lycium ferocissimum
Lineage: Eukaryota; Viridiplantae; Streptophyta; Magnoliopsida; Solanales; Solanaceae
Exons: 3
Source: RefSeq, a predicted model, not a curated record
AAAUCGUUCGCAUGGAAUCACCCCGAGACCCUGAAAAACGGAGUUGAUUGUUCAAUCCUCAAGAAGUCCGUGAUGUUCUACAAGGAAAUAGAGGUUCUGAACAGGUAGAAGUACUGGUGGUCGAUUCAGAGGCGAUAAAUGGUUUGGACUUGAGCACCAAAGUAUUCAAGAAAAUGAAAAAUCUUAGGGUGCUUAAAAUCGAUGAGUUACAUAUUAGUGGAGAUCUUUAGCUGUUGUCCAAGGAGCUCCGAUGGUUGUCUUGGCAACGAUGUCCUUUAAAAUAUACACCAUCAAAUAUUCCUGCUGAGAAACUUGUAGUUUUAGAUAUACAAGAGAGCAAUAUCCAAGAAUUUGGUUUGAAUUUACAGGCUCGUUACUCCAUUUUACAAUUUGAUGUGUACUGUUACUUAAAAAAAAAAAAAAGUGGCUUCCGGGCCAGCUUGCACGGACCUCGACUAAUUUCACGGGAUACCAUGUCACCUAGUAUUUUUAUCUCUGCCGGAUUAGAACCUGAAACCUCAUGGUUCUCAACCCGCUUCAUUGACCACUAGGCCAUACCCUUGUGUGCUUUCAUGUGUCUUUGUUAUUUCAACUUUAGUGAAAGGAAAUCUUGCUUGAUUUUAUAUUUGGUUUACUUUUUAGUGUUGUAAAAGUCUGAAGGAGCUGGAUCUCUCUGAUUGUAAGCGCCUUAGAAGAACACCAAACUUCAAUGAUUCACGAAGUCUUGAAAAUUUGCGAGUUGGUGGUUGCUCAAGGCUAACGAAGAUCCAUGAAUCAAUAGGAAAUUUGGACGGACCGAUUGAUCUAGAUUUGGAUGGUUGCAAAAAACUUACGGAUCUUCCAAGCAGCAUAUGCAAGCUAAAAUCACUUGAAUUCCUGGACAUUAGUAGGUGCUCAUCUGUACAAACACUGCUAGUUGACCUUGGUGAUAUUCUAAGUCUAAAGCAUCUUUCUGCAGUUGGUACGGCUAUAAAACAAUUGCCUGGAUCUAUUGAAAUGCUAAGAGACCUCGUACUUUUGAAAGUGGGAGGUCGAAAUAUAGAGGCCAAAAGGAGUUUUUCCGGAAGAAGAUUCCGUACCAUACAAUCCUUGUCAACUUUUCUUUUGGAUUUAAGCCUUACAUAUUGUGGUUUAUCCGAUUCCUAUGGGUAUCAGGAAUUUAUCCUCCUUGAGAAAUUUAGAUUUGAGUGGCAAUAGUUUCCAUUGUCUUCCCUUUGGCUUUUCUAAGUUACGAUCGUUGAGGUUCUUGGGUUUGAACGACUGUGAGAAUCUUCAUAACAACCCCAUCACUAUCACAUUUAGAAUAUCUCAACAGUUUUUCGCUUGCAAAUUGCAAAAAAAUUGGUCAAGAUUACAGAUUUGGACAACCUCCCUUCCAUAGAGUUGGUCAACAUGCUUACUUGUAGUUCUCUGCAGAAUCCAUUCAACAAAUGCUACUCGCAUCGUAAAAUAUCGCAAUCUGGAGUUUGAAAUUUAUCUCCAACGCAAUGAGAUUCCAGAUUGGUGCAACAAUCAAGUAACAACGUCAUCUGUCUGCUUCACUAUGCCAGCACAUAAUAAGAAGUACAAGUUUCUGGGAAUGAUUCUCUGGUUUGUUCGCAACUUUGUCAAUGAACCCUCAUCUAGGCAUCCAGAAGCCUGGUCCUGUGGUAUCGCCGAUAAAUGGCCUAUAUUUAUCCUCUGGCCUUACGAUGAUGUAAUACCCGUUGGACACAGAAAUAUCGUGUGUAUAUUACGUAUCUUACUUACAUAGUCCUUUUGAUGGCCAGAUGCAAGGCCGAGAAAAGAUGGAAGUCGUCGAGUUGGGUAAAGAAAAUCUAGUAAAGAAGAUAGGGAUCCAUCAGUUAUAUUUAGAUCAACAAGGCAAAGUUACAUCAUUGCCAGCAGUCAUGGACCUUUAACAGUAUAGGAAAAAAACUAUCUUGACUCUUUCUGGAAUUUUAGAUGUUCAAAACAAUGACAUAUAUAACAAAAACAUGAAUUAAGAGCAAAGUUCUGAAUGCUAUAGUAUAGAUUGUAUAAACUUAUAGUUUUUGUUUUUUCAAUUUAUGUUUUAGUUGGAUCUGUCAUUGUUUUAAGCAGUUAUUUAGUUGAAGAGCUAGCUAUUAAUAACUUUUAUGGUUUCAAUGUGGCAUUGAUAAGAUUUAAAUUUUGCCAAACUUGAAAACAUGCAAGGUUCAUUCUUACUCAUUUAACUUCUAUGUUAUUGUUGGUGGUGGUGGUGGUAUUUUCAACUCUUGGAUUAUUUUUUCCACAAUCAGGGGCAGCACAUUAUAUAUCUGCUCGCCAGCAGCGGAGGGGGUUCAAUUCUCCUUAUACGCGAUGUGGCGAAAAAGAUUGAUUCACU